AUGAACGCUGGCGGCGUGCCUAAUACAUGCCAGUCGAGCGAACAGACGAGGAGCUUGCUCCUCUGACGUUAGCGGCGGACGGGUGAGUAACACGUGGAUAACCUACCUAUAAGACUGGGAUAACUUCGGGAAACCGGAGCUAAUACCGGAUAAUAUAUUGAACCGCAUGGUUCAAUAGUGAAAGACGGUUUUGCUGUCACUUAUAGAUGGAUCCGCGCCGCAUUAGCUAGUUGGUAAGGUAACGGCUUACCAAGGCAACGAUGCGUAGCCGACCUGAGAGGGUGAUCGGCCACACUGGAACUGAGACACGGUCCAGACUCCUACGGGAGGCAGCAGUAGGGAAUCUUCCGCAAUGGGCGAAAGCCUGACGGAGCAACGCCGCGUGAGUGAUGAAGGUCUUCGGAUCGUAAAUCUCUGUUAUUAGGGAAGAACAAAUGUGUAAGUAACUAUGCACGUCUUGACGGUACCUAAUCAGAAAGCCACGGCUAACUACGUG
This 496-nucleotide ribosomal RNA is filed under the name uncultured bacterium. RNAcentral's name for it is "partial 16S ribosomal RNA". It matches the Rfam family "Bacterial small subunit ribosomal RNA", at positions 29 to 507 of the family's 1533-position model. The record is from RNAcentral.